This is a small nucleolar RNA of Dipodomys ordii (Ord's kangaroo rat), 141 nucleotides long. NCBI's taxonomy places the organism in Eukaryota, Metazoa, Chordata, Mammalia, Rodentia, Heteromyidae. The record is from Ensembl.
AGUGGUGUCUAUCCUAACAGGGCUCCUUUUGUAAAAGCUGCAUAUUGUUGAAAAUACCUCAUACAGUAACCCUAUGCCUUUGCUUUACUCACAGGACUAAUUUUUUUUUUUAGAUCUGUGGGAAUCAACUACAAGAGAGUA